AUUCCAAUCGAACUCGGAGAUAGCUGGUUCUCCCCGAAAUAGCUUUAGGGCUAGCCUCGAUUUAGAUUAUUGGGGGUAGAGCACUGAAUGGGCUAGGGGGCCACAAAGCUUACUGAACCCUAUCAAACUGCGAAUACCAAUUAAUUGAUGAUCGGGAGUCAGACAGUGAGAGAUAAGUUCCAUUGUCGAAAGGGAAACAGCCCAGAUCCACGACUAAGGUCCCAAAAUACACGUUAAGUGGAAAAGGAUGUGCAGUUGCACAGACAACCAGGAUGUUGGCUUAGAAGCAGCCACUCAUUCAAAGAGUGCGUAAUAGCUCACUGGUCGAGUGAAUGUGCGCCGAAAAUAUACCGGGGCUAAACGUGAUACCGAAGUCUGGGGAUCAAGAAAUUGAUCGGUAGGGGAGCAACGCAUACGGACAGAAGCAGAAGCGGGAGCGACUGUGGACUGUAUGGGAGAGAGAAUGCCGGCAUGAGUAGCGAGAGCAAAGUGAGAAUCUUUGCCGUCGAAAGCCUAAGGUUUCCUGAGGAAGGCUCGUCCUCUCAGGGUAAGUCGGGACCUAAGCCGAGGACAAGAGUCGUAGGCGAUGGACAACAGGUUGAUAUUCCUGUACCGUACUUAAGCGUUUGACUGAAGCAGUGACACAGAAGGAUAGACAGACCGGGGGAAUGGUAGACUCCGGCCAAGCAGUGAGGCUGACAUGUAGUGAAGUACGCAUGUUAAGGCUGGGCUGUGAUGGGGACUGAAGAUUAGUAAGGAAGCUGUUGAAUUCACACUGGCGAGAAAAGCUGCUAAGGAGCGAGAGUAUGCCCGUACCGCAAACCGACACAGGUAGGCGAGGAGAGAAUCCUAAGACGAGCGGGAGAACCCUUGUUAAGGAACUCGGCAAAAUGACUCCGUAACUUAGGGAGAAGGAGUGCCCAGGAAUGGGCCGCAGAGAAUAGACCCAAGCGACUGUUUACCAAAAACACAGGUCUGUGCGAAGUAGAGAUACGACGUAUACGGGCUGACACCUGCCCAGUGCCGGAAGGUUAAGGGGAAAUGUUAGGGCAACCGAAGCAUGGAACUUAAGCCCCGGUGAACGGCGGCCGUAACUAUAACGGUCCUAAGGUAGCGAAAUUCCUUGUCGGGUAAGUUCCGACCCGCACGAA
RNAcentral lists this ribosomal RNA (1151 nucleotides) under human gut metagenome. Its description in RNAcentral is "bacterial LSU rRNA". It matches the Rfam family "Bacterial large subunit ribosomal RNA", at positions 826 to 1996 of the family's 2925-position model. The record is from RNAcentral.